This 118-nucleotide ribosomal RNA is filed under the name Trichosporon asahii var. asahii CBS 8904. RNAcentral's name for it is "5.8S ribosomal RNA". It matches the Rfam family "5.8S ribosomal RNA", at positions 37 to 154 of the family's 154-position model. Rfam says of the family: 5.8S ribosomal RNA (5.8S rRNA) is a component of the large subunit of the eukaryotic ribosome. It is transcribed by RNA polymerase I as part of the 45S precursor that also contains 18S and 28S rRNA. Lineage: Eukaryota; Fungi; Basidiomycota; Tremellomycetes; Trichosporonales; Trichosporonaceae. The record is from Rfam by way of RNAcentral.
UGAAGAACGCAGCGAAUUGCGAUAAGUAAUGUGAAUUGCAGAAUUCAGUGAAUCAUCGAAUCUUUGAACGCAGCUUGCGCUCUCUGGUAUUCCGGAGAGCAUGCCUGUUUCAGUGUCA